Long non-coding RNA from Mauremys mutica (yellowpond turtle), 280 nucleotides. RefSeq lists it as uncharacterized. The record is from RefSeq and is a predicted model, not a curated record. The transcript has 3 exons. Lineage: Eukaryota; Metazoa; Chordata; Testudines; Geoemydidae.
AUGAGAGCCGUGAAGGGUCUGACGACACCCACCCUGGAGCGAUUUCAAGUCGCCGAAGAAGAGCUGAGGACCAUCGUAUCUCUACACGGAGACAAGAUGGAGAGAGUUGGAGACAUCGUGGGACGUAUCUUAAUCUGGCUGGACAACGUCUGUGAUCCCAGAGCCAGAAAAACAGCGCUGAGGGCCACGGCCUUGCUGGCUCGUUCCCACCCCCAGGACGUGGUUCUGAGCUGUGUGGCGCACACGCUGUCCUCGGACAGAUGUGCCAUUGAGCUGUGGA